Molecule: transfer RNA, 64 nt
Filed under: Aggregatibacter actinomycetemcomitans
Lineage: Bacteria; Pseudomonadati; Pseudomonadota; Gammaproteobacteria; Pasteurellales; Pasteurellaceae
Also listed under: 1 other name
Description: tRNA-Gly(gcc)
Rfam family: tRNA
About the family: Transfer RNA (tRNA) molecules are approximately 80 nucleotides in length. Their secondary structure includes four short double-helical elements and three loops (D, anti-codon, and T loops). Further hydrogen bonds mediate the characteristic L-shaped molecular structure. tRNAs have two regions of fundamental functional importance: the anti-codon, which is responsible for specific mRNA codon recognition, and the 3' end, to which the tRNAs corresponding amino acid is attached (by aminoacyl-tRNA synthetases). tRNAs cope with the degeneracy of the genetic code in two manners: having more than one tRNA (with a specific anti-codon) for a particular amino acid; and 'wobble' base-pairing, i.e. permitting non-standard base-pairing at the 3rd anti-codon position.
Source: RNAcentral
GAAUAGCUCAGUUGGUAGAGCACGACCUUGCCAAGGUCGGGGUCGCGAGUUCGAGCCUCGUUUC